RNAcentral lists this ribosomal RNA (424 nucleotides) under uncultured bacterium. RNAcentral's name for it is "bacterial SSU rRNA". It matches the Rfam family "Bacterial small subunit ribosomal RNA", at positions 354 to 796 of the family's 1533-position model. The record is from RNAcentral.
GUGGGGAAUUUUGCACAAUGGGGGAAACCCUGAUGCAGCGACGCCGCGUGAACGAUGAAGGUCUUCGGAUUGUAAAGUUCUGUCCUUAGCGAAGAUAAUGACAGUAGCUAAGAAGCAAGCCCUGGCUAAAUACGUGCCAGCAGCCGCGGUAAUACGUAUGGGGCAAGCGUUGUCCGGAAUUAUUGGGCGUAAAGGGUAUGUAGGCGGUUAAUUAAGUCUGAAUUUAAAGGCUGUGGCUCAACCACGGUUCGGUUUAGAAACUGGUUAACUUGAGUAGAUGAGGGGAAAGUGGAAUUCCAUGUGUAGCGGUGAAAUGCGUAGAUAUAUGGAGGAACACCAGUGGCGAAGGCGACUUUCUAGAAUCUAACUGACGCUGAGAUACGAAGGCGUGGGUAGCAAACAGGAUUAGAAACCCUAGUAGUCC